Molecule: ribosomal RNA, 500 nt
Filed under: uncultured bacterium
Lineage: Bacteria
Description: partial 16S ribosomal RNA
Rfam family: Bacterial small subunit ribosomal RNA
Source: RNAcentral
AUUGAACGCUGGCGGCAUGCCUUACACAUGCAAGUCGAACGGCAGCACGGGAGCAAUCCUGGUGGCGAGUGGCGAACGGGUGAGUAAAGUAUCGGAACGUGCCCAGUCGUGGGGGAUAACGUAGCGAAAGUUACGCUAAUACCGCAUACGAUCUAUGGAUGAAAGCGGGGGAUCGCAAGACCUCGCGCGAUUGGAGCGGCCGAUAUCAGAUUAGGUAGUUGGUGGGGUAAAGGCUCACCAAGCCGACGAUCUGUAGCUGGUCUGAGAGGACGACCAGCCGCACUGGGACUGAGACACGGCCCAGACUCCUACGGGAGGCAGCAGUGGGGAAUUUUGGACAAUGGGCGAAAGCCUGAUCCAGCCAUGCCGCGUACAGGAUGAGGGCCUUCGGGUUGUAAACUGCUUUUGUACGGAACGAAAAGGUUUGGCCUAAUAAGCUGAGCUCAUGACGGUACCGUAAGAAUAAGCACCGGCUAACUACGUGCCAGCCGCCGCCGUAA